AGUCGGACGCACUAAUUUAUUAGUGAGUGGCGAACGGGUGAGUAACACGUAGGUAAUCUACCUUUAAGACGAGGAUAACCAUUGGAAACGAUGGCUAAGACUGGAUAGGAAUAUGUAAGGCAUCUUAUAUAUUUUAAAAGACCUAGCAAUAGGUAUACUUAAAGAGGAGCCUGCGGCGCAUUAGUUAGUUGGUGAGGUGAUGGCUUACCAAGACAGUGAUGCGUAGCCGGACUGAGAGGUUGAACGGCCACAUUGGGACUGAGACACGGCCCAAACUCCUACGGGAGGCAGCAGUAGGGAAUUUUCGGCAAUGGGGGCAACCCUGACCGAGCAACGCCGCGUGAAUGACGAAGUACUUCGGUAUGUAAAGUUCUUUUAUUAGGGAAGAAUGACUUGUGGAAAAGCAAGUGUGACGGUACCUAAUGAAUAAGCCCCGGCUAACUAUGUGCCAGCAGCCGCGGUAAUACAUAGGGGGCAAGCGUUAUCCGGAAUUAUUGGGCGUAAAGGGUGCGUAGGCGGUUAUUUAAGUCUUUGGUGUAAGUGCAGGGCUCAACUCUGUGAUGCUAAGGAAACUGGAUAACUUGAGUGUGGUAGAGGUAAGUAGAAUUCCAUGUGUAGCGGUAAAAUGCGUAAAUAUAUGGAGGAAUACCAGUGGCGAA
RNAcentral lists this ribosomal RNA (659 nucleotides) under uncultured bacterium. RNAcentral describes it as "bacterial SSU rRNA". It matches the Rfam family "Bacterial small subunit ribosomal RNA", at positions 60 to 719 of the family's 1533-position model. The record is from RNAcentral.